AUUUGAUGAUGAUGAUGCACCUUCAAAUGAUAAUUUUUUCGUAAGUGAACCGGAAAUUGCAAGCCAAACACAUGAAGCAACAAUUCCAUAAGAAGAACUAUAACAAUCAAAUGUUUACAGAUUAUCAAUUGAAUAGACAACGAAGAUGAUGCAUCGCCAAAAGUACUAUGUCGUGUUCGAGGGUAGGUCGCGAGGCAUAUAUACAGUUGGGAGCAGUGCCAACCAUUAGUGUAUUGAUACAAGGGCGCCCUCUUCAGAUUGUUCCAUACCUUCGAAGCAGCUGAAUAUCACAUGAAUGAAUAUCUCCACAACAAGUAUGGUGUGCAAUUACGUAGGUCAUUGGACAUUGACUAUGUCAACGCAACGCAAGAGGAAGAAGUGAUGCAGAGGAAUAAAUGGAAGUGCAGACAGAAACGUUUGAUUGCUUGUUUUGUUACUACUUGUUUUCUUUGUUGGAUCUGUACUCGUUAAACUUAUGUACUGGAUGGGACAACACGCUUGGGUUAAUAGUUUUUAACUUUCAUACAA
Long non-coding RNA from Nymphaea colorata (pocket water lily), 528 nucleotides. RefSeq lists it as uncharacterized. NCBI's taxonomy places the organism in Eukaryota, Viridiplantae, Streptophyta, Magnoliopsida, Nymphaeales, Nymphaeaceae. The record is from RefSeq and is a predicted model, not a curated record. The transcript is spliced from 2 exons.